GAAAUUGCAUGUUUUUAUUGUUAGUUUAGUCAAGUUUAAGUGUUAAGGGCCUUAAAUGGCUACUUCCUCUAAAUAGAUUUGAGGGAAUCCUUAUAUGUAUUAUAUUGGAUUUGAGAAAAACCUAGUAUUUGAGUUUUUAGUUAAUGUAUGUGAAAAUUAAGUAUGAUUUCAAGUUAUUUUUUACCCUACAGAUGUGUGUAUGUGUUUGGUUUGUAUAUUGGAACUUUGGAAUGAGUUGGUAGCUUUUCGAAAAUUUGAAUCUAUAGGUUUUCGACUUGAGAAUUCUGAAAAUUCUAGAAAUUUCCAGGUUUAACUGCCGAAAACCAUAGUUUCAGCAGCGAAAUCAUGCAAGUUCACGGAAAAUCUGAAAAAUUUUCAAGUUCGACAGCCGAAGUCCAAGACUUCGGCACUCACAGUCAGCACUGGACUAAAAGGCCAUCCAAAGCCUGAGACUUUCGCAGCCGAAAUCCAGGACUUUGGCAGC
Molecule: unclassified non-coding RNA, 484 nt
Filed under: Hevea brasiliensis (rubber tree)
Lineage: Eukaryota; Viridiplantae; Streptophyta; Magnoliopsida; Malpighiales; Euphorbiaceae
Source: RNAcentral